UGGGAAUUUUGGACAAUGGGCGAAAGCCUGAUCCAGCAAUGCCGCGUGUGUGAAGAAGGCCUUCGGGUUGUAAAGCACUUUUGUCCGGAAAGAAAUCCUUGGCUCUAAUACAGUCGGGGGAUGACGGUACCGGAAGAAUAAGCACCGGCUAACUACGUGCCAGCAGCCGCGGUAAUACGUAGGGUGCAAGCGUUAAUCGGAAUUACUGGGCGUAAAGCGUGCGCAGGCGGUUUGCUAAGACCGAUGUGAAAUCCCCGGGCUCAACCUGGGAACUGCAUUGGUGACUGGGCAGGCUAGAGUAUGGCAGAGGGGGGUAGAAUUCCACGUGUAGCAGUGAAAUGCGUAGAGAUGUGGAGGAAUACCGAUGGCGAAGGCAGCCCCUGGGCCAAUACUGACGCUCAUGCACGAAAGCGUGGGGAGCAAAACAGGAUUAGAUACCCUGGUAGUCCACGCCCUAAAACGAUGUCAACUAGUUGUUGGGGAUU
Molecule: ribosomal RNA, 485 nt
Filed under: uncultured bacterium
Lineage: Bacteria
Description: partial 16S ribosomal RNA
Rfam family: Bacterial small subunit ribosomal RNA
Source: RNAcentral